GGCGGAAAGUAGGGUAGACGUUCUGCGACUUGGCAUGGACCCAGCGGAUCAAGGCGGGAUUUUCCUGGGGGGCAAACACAACGGCGGAACUGCUGCACAGAGGGAGAAAUGCUGCGGUGACAAACUGUCCUCCUGUGCAGACCUGCAUCAUCUGCUCCCCCUGGACCAGCCUAUGGCAGCCUCUGGACAUAGUCUUGCUGCUACUGCAAACCACCUCUGAAACAAAAGAUUUUGCAAGAAUGAAGGAGACCCUUCUUGUCCCUGUCUUGUCAGCCAGAUCUUGAAGCUCAUUUGACUCUCCUGACUGCUAGUGUUGACCUAAGGCAAGCAGCAGGAAUACAAAAUAAGCUCUGGUAAGGGUGGGGCUAGUCUCAAUAGGGCAGCACAGGCUUGAGCUAGAAUAUGCUUGUCAUAAAACCACAUCCUCGUGGGCUCACACACCAAAGCUUAACAGGUAAGACCCCAAGUGGUUUUUAUUUUUUUUAAUCAGGACUGAUGUUUAUUGAAUGUUCCAGGUUUGCAGCAUUAAAUGAAAUUGACAAUUCUUCUAUGAAAAUGCCUUUGAAGUUUACAUCAUCUGUUUUCUUUGCCAUCAGCAGUAACCAAAAUGGAAAGAACAGUCAAGAAAAUUAAUCUUUGUCCAGAACCCCAUGGAGGGCUGGCCUUGACUGACUGCCAGAUAUCUACCCAGAUGCUUUCUCACUCCUCUCCUUGAAAGGGCUGGGGGAGAAAAUGCCAUAGAAAAUCUCAUGGUUUGCUAAAAGCACAGUUGUUAAGAAAACUUGUUUUCUUAACAAAAAACACUGCACAUGGAAGCAAAGUAAAAAGUGGAAUUCAUUCACUAAAAAACCAUCAGCAGGCAGAUGUUCAGCUAUUUUUUGGGAAGCAAGGCCUCAAUAGGCAUAGCAGUUUCUUGGGAAGAUAGAUUACAUCACCACAAAUGUCCUCCCAUCAUUCUUCUUUCCUUCAACUUUUAUUUCUAAGGAGGACAUCAUAUGGCAUGGGAUAUCCCUUUGGUUAUUUGGGUCAGUUGUCCCAGUUAUUCCCCCUGCCAAUCUCUUGUCCAUCUCCAGCUUACAGACCUUCAAAGUGGUUGGAGGGGUGUUGGAGAGAAAGCCCUGACACUGUGCUAGCACUGCCCAGCAGUACCCAAACCCGUGUGCUACCACAGAUGAAAGGCACAGAACCUCUAGGUUGCUGUGCAGAAAGUUGAGUCCAUCCCAACCAAACCCAGUACAAAGGCAGUUUGAAAGCUGUCUGACACCUCGGAAUUUCAGACUAUUCUCAUACAAGGUAGCCUGGAAUCAGACACACUUCUAUGACACUCUUUGAUUGAAACUGCAACUAACGUCCACCUAGAGUUUAAAGUAAUCCAAGAUACCUUCAGUUUAGAACUGUGUGAUUUUGCAUGUGGCUUUUCAGUCAUGCCCUGAAAUACACAGACUGGAUUUUUUGACUGUAUACUCAAAGUCACUCUUUUCAGUGUGACCAAGCUGAUUCUGUGCUUUGAGUGAAUGAGAGAAAAAUUAACCUAAAUCACAUACCUGUCUACCUACCUCCAAGGUGACCAUGCAUGAUGUUUUCAGAAGAGACAGGUUAAAUAUGCUGUCAACUCCAGAAAUACUGGUGCCUGUCAAACUUGUGCUGAGUGCUUGCACUUGUCCUGUUUGAAUCAGUCAGACUGGGUUAACAUGUUGGUGGGCUCUAUUGUGAAUUCUCACUGGCCUUUGCAAAUAAAGCAAGCUGGAAAAUGGAGGAAGCUGACAAAAUCACUCAUAUCACAAGAAGGUUCCUGAACAGAAACCUCUUACUUCUAAUUCCUAUAUGUAAUGGCAAAGAAGGGUCGUUUGGCUCCUGUUCCUGUUCUACACAAGUGAAGAAAUAUUGCUAAGUGUGCUGCUGCCCUUCUUUUGAAGGGGCAUCAAUAUCAAGCAUUCAUGUGCAUGAAUAUAUCCAUGGUAAAAGGCAAAUGAAUACAGAAGGGGAGUAGUGUAAGAAGCAUUAGGAUCCAGCACAGUUUAUUUGAACUCAGAACGAGUGCAGCUAACUGCAGCAUAUAGCUAUAUUAAUAAAUUUUCCAGAUACAUGUAAUUCAUUCUGUGUUAAAAACUGAAGUCCCCAGUAUCUUUAUUUUAUAGUUGUUUAAAGGAAGCCUAGCAUGCAAAGGAAGGAGUUAAGAUAGUUAGGGGAAUUAUGAAUUGUUAGUACAGCCAACAGGCCACCCAUAAAUGUGUAUCAAAUGUUGAGCUCAGCAGGAGUUAGUUACAAAACUAGGACAUUUAAUGAGUCAUGAAGUGCCAAGAAUAAUGAGACAUGGCAUUAAACAAACCAUUCCUGCCUCUCCUUGGCUUGUCCAGAGACGAUGGCAAGAAGCCCUCUGCUGUUUCAGCUUUUCCUGUCAAAAGAAAACUUUGGACUCAACUGAAUUAUAGCCGUGGCUGAGCUGCCUCAGCCAGGGAGCUGGUGCCGCCCAGGCGGCUCUGGUGACAGAAGGAUAAACUGGCAGCCAGCAUCCCUUCUCUACUCCUUUGCAAGUCAUUGAUUGUAACAUUUAAUAGUGUUAUAUUCUUAGCUCUCCCUCUGCUUCCAGCUCCUUGCACGAGAAACUAUUAAUAGUUAUAUAUCAAUGAAGAAUGGAAGAGGAAGAGGUCUUAGAGUAGGGUGGGAAUUUGAAACAUACCCUGGACGUCUGAGGGUAAGUCCCGUUGUUGGUUAAGUGUUAGAAGUGCUUAGCCAGUUGAAGGGUGACACUGUUGCUAGACUUCCCCUCACAAUGGCUGUCAGGACCUGGAGUACUCCAGCAAGCUGUAUUGCUCCAACCACCCUCCACCUGGCCCAGGUGCAGCAUAAAGUUGAGAUCCUUGCCUGAGAGCUGGCCUGAACUGUGUGAAAUGUAUGUUGUAUCUAGGCUUGGCUGGAGUUCCUAGGUUGACCUCAGGCCUUCCUUAUUACUUUGGCUUUGCCUGGACAGCACUGGGCUGCAGCUGGUUAUGGUUAUUGCCACUGGACCUGGCCUCAUCACCUUGUCUGCCUCCCAGCUAAGCCCAGUGUUGCCAUUCCUGGACUGCAGUGUCACUCAUGGAGCAGUGCUCAACCUCAUGGCUGUGGGGAUUGUAUGUGGUGCCAAAGGUGAACUCUGAUGGCUGCCAGUAAAAAUUCACAAAGCAGCUGCUAAAUAGUGAGAAGAAACUAAAGUGUUGCAGGAAAUGGCUCAUGCAGCAUAAGGGGAGGCAUCUUUCCUGGCCUGCUGCUCCUGACACAGACCAUUACCAGAAGCUGAUGCUUCUUUGUUUCCCCAUUUCUCUGCAGGUGUUUUGCUCUGCCCACAAAAGAAAUUAUAGAUCUGCCUCAUUCAAUUUGCGUAUCAGAAAAGUAACAGUGCUUGCUGUGAACUCUGCCUGCUUCUUUCUGACAUGAUGGGAAGAGUUUCAGAUGGAGAGUCCCCUUAACCCAAAACAUGUCUGAGAGGUGAACCAUCACUUAGAAAUUAACUUCUUCUUCGUGGGUUUUGUUAAGAGUUUAGUGUAGCCCAGAUCAUCUCCAGCUUCCUGAGUCUCCACUGUGUGACAAGAGUGCCAUGGCUUGUGUAGCUUGCAGCAAAAUGUUACACAGCCUUUAUUGCACAUGGAGGAUGCUCCUGUAAGUUCUUCUCAGACCCAUGGGUGAAAUGCUGGAUUUGCUGAGGAGAGCCCUAUGAAAAAUGGCUCUGGCCCACAAAGCUUUCAGAUUGCCUGCAAUGUCUUACCUGAAGUCACCUGAUGGGUUUAGCUGGACUUUCUUUCACAAACAGAAUAAGAAUGUAAAGAAAAGCCUGCUGUGUGAAGACUCAGACCAGAGGGGCCAGGGAAACUUUAUUCACCAACAGACAUGGCCACUCCUGCUUGUCAAGACAAAUACAGUGCCUCAACAAUUGGUUUGGAGUUAGGGACUUCACCUGUCAAGGUGGAGUCAACUUAAGAACAUUAUCUUGGAGGAAGCCUCACUUUGUGGUAUCAUCAGGUCCAAAACUUAUCCACAGCCUGAAAUUAAUUUUUAACUAAAAAAAAAAAUAGGACUUUAUAAACAAUGAUUCUUUUAGAAGUCACAAAUUUCUCCCUUGUACAGGAAGACACUCCAGCCCUGUGUGGGGAAAAAAAAACCUCCGCCUGAAAUCUGUGAUAGAUGAGCCUUGAAGGAGAAGCGGCUCUGUUGUACUUCUGUGUAGAACAAGACACUCACUUUGUUUUGCUUUAUAUCUUUUGUUAGAAGUCUGGAGCUUAAAUUUUAAAUCAAGUCUUUGGGAACGCACUGUGAAGCCGACCAUCAGUAUGAAUAAAAUAUGUUAAUAGGAA
Non-coding RNA from Taeniopygia guttata (zebra finch), 4331 nucleotides. Lineage: Eukaryota; Metazoa; Chordata; Aves; Passeriformes; Estrildidae. The record is from RefSeq and is a predicted model, not a curated record.